This 93-nucleotide transfer RNA is filed under the name Metarhizium anisopliae. RNAcentral's name for it is "tRNA-Ala". It matches the Rfam family "tRNA". Rfam says of the family: Transfer RNA (tRNA) molecules are approximately 80 nucleotides in length. Their secondary structure includes four short double-helical elements and three loops (D, anti-codon, and T loops). Lineage: Eukaryota; Fungi; Ascomycota; Sordariomycetes; Hypocreales; Clavicipitaceae. The record is from RNAcentral.
GGGCGUUUAGUUUAGUGGUAUAGCGCCCGUUUCGCACUUAUAAGUGUUUAUGAGUAUUACGGGAGGUCCGGGGUUCGAUUCCCCGAACGUCCA